Cynocephalus volans (Philippine flying lemur) is the source of this 367-nucleotide long non-coding RNA. RefSeq lists it as uncharacterized. The record is from RefSeq and is a predicted model, not a curated record. The transcript has 3 exons. Lineage: Eukaryota; Metazoa; Chordata; Mammalia; Dermoptera; Cynocephalidae.
CCACCAGAGCCUGAGCAAUAGAUGUUUCUAACUUAACCACUCGAGCUCAGUCUUCAGGCAUCCCAAGGCAGGGGAUUAUUGUUGGAUUCACCCGUAAACUGAAAACUUUUGAAGAAACAAAGAAUGAUCAAAACCAUAGGAAGAACAGAAACCACAAUGUCAGGACUGCCUGCCUUGGCAAAUGCUGUGACAAUAAAGAGGUGAGGGGACCACGGCCAUUCAACUGAAACAUAAGGAGUGAAAAGAAGUUGACUUUGUGAUUCUGAAGUUUCAAGCCUGGCAUAUUGUAAAGACAGUAGCGUCACAAACAAAAACAAAAUCACAGAUUGAGUUAAUAUCUGCUGUUCAAUAAAAGAGACAAAGUCGC